Molecule: transfer RNA, 67 nt
Filed under: Phaolus metallicus
Lineage: Eukaryota; Metazoa; Arthropoda; Insecta; Coleoptera; Cerambycidae
Description: tRNA-Trp
Source: RNAcentral
AAGGAUUUAAGUUAAUCAAACUCUUAGCCUUCAAAGCUAAAAAUAGGGGGGGCCCUCCUAAGCCUUA